CCCACCACCGCCCCCGACCAGUUCUCUGUUGGCUGGAGCAGUCCAGCUGUGAGCUGAGAGUAAAGCCAGGUUAGGAAACAGGGCUGUUCGUCAUGUGGGUGACUCUGUGCCGAAAGCAUGGGAAGAGCC
Molecule: small nucleolar RNA, 129 nt
Filed under: Dasypus novemcinctus (nine-banded armadillo)
Lineage: Eukaryota; Metazoa; Chordata; Mammalia; Cingulata; Dasypodidae
Description: Small nucleolar RNA SNORA65 (ENSDNOG00000028362.1)
Rfam family: Small nucleolar RNA SNORA65
About the family: U65 belongs to the H/ACA class of snoRNAs which are thought to guide the sites of modification of uridines to pseudouridines.
Source: RNAcentral